CCUACGGUGAGCAGCAGUGAGGAAUAUUGGUCAAUGGACGAGAGUCUGAACCAGCCAAGUAGCGUGAAGGAUGACUGCCCUAUGGGUUGUAAACUUCUUUUAUAUGGGAAUAAAAUGUUCCACGUGUGGGAUUUUGUAUGUACCAUAUGAAUAAGGAUCGGCUAACUCCGUGCCAGCAGCCGCGGUAAUACGGAGGAUCCGAGCGUUAUCCGGAUUUGUUGGGUUUAAAGGGAUCGUAGGUGGAUUGUUAAGUCAGUUGUGAAAGUUUGCGGCUCAACCGUAAAAUUGCAGUUGAAACUGGCAGUCUUGAGUACAGUAGAGGUGGGCGGAAUGCGUGGUGUAGCGGUGAAAUGCUUAGAGAUCACGAAGAACUCCGAUUGCGAAGGCAGCUCACUGGACUGCAACUGACACUGAGGCUCGAAAGUGUGGGUAUCAAACAGGAUUAGAUACCCUAGUAGUC
This 460-nucleotide ribosomal RNA is filed under the name uncultured bacterium. RNAcentral's name for it is "partial 16S ribosomal RNA". It matches the Rfam family "Bacterial small subunit ribosomal RNA", at positions 338 to 795 of the family's 1533-position model. The record is from RNAcentral.